Molecule: ribosomal RNA, 248 nt
Filed under: uncultured bacterium
Lineage: Bacteria
Description: partial 16S ribosomal RNA
Rfam family: Bacterial small subunit ribosomal RNA
Source: RNAcentral
UACGUAGGGUGCAAGCGUUGUCCGGAAUUAUUGGGCGUAAAGAGCUCGUAGGCGGUUCGUCGCGUCGGCUGUGAAAUCCCGAGGCUCAACCUCGGGUCUGCAGUCGAUACGGGCGGACUGGAGUUCGGCAGGGGAGACGUGGAAUUCCUGGUGUAGCGGUGAAAUGCGCAGAUAAUCAGGAGGAACACCGUGGCGAAGGCGGGUCUCUGGCCGAUACUGACGCUGAGGAGCGAAAGCGUGGGGAGCGA